GUUUUCUUUCAUUAUCCUUCCACUUAUUUUUAUGACGUGUCCUUCUUUUACUGUUAAAUUGUCUUUUUUCUUUACAACACUCGAUAACCACAACAUCUAUAUCAGACAUUUUGGAAAAUUUGGAGGCAAUUUGAGAACUACACUUUGAUUGGUUAGUUUCAUUUCUGCGAACCUAUCAGGAAUAUUGACUCUAACCGUUAGAGAUGAAAAACAAAGAAGAUGGCAUGUGCCCUUUUUCCAUUAACUAUUUCUAGCAUUCAGAAUCUAGAGAUUUUUUUAUGCUCCUUAUUAAAGAAUAUGCACAUGCCGCCAUGCAAAUCGUUAUUGGAAUUGACGCUAGAUAGCAGGAGCUACUUAACCAUAACAAAAACUCUAAAUCAGCAGGUUUGUGGCAUGUGCCUGUUUUCCACUGGUCAACUCAAAUGUCAG
This 429-nucleotide long non-coding RNA is filed under the name Androctonus crassicauda. The record is from RNAcentral. Lineage: Eukaryota; Metazoa; Arthropoda; Arachnida; Scorpiones; Buthidae.